This 1136-nucleotide ribosomal RNA is filed under the name Halobellus limi. RNAcentral's name for it is "Halobacteriaceae archaeon TBN53 Archaeal small subunit ribosomal RNA". It matches the Rfam family "Archaeal small subunit ribosomal RNA", at positions 169 to 1302 of the family's 1478-position model. Lineage: Archaea; Methanobacteriati; Methanobacteriota; Halobacteria; Halobacteriales; Haloferacaceae. The record is from Rfam by way of RNAcentral.
GCUGGAACGCCGGGAGUCACAAACACUACGGUGCUGUAGGAUGAGGCUGCGGCCGAUUAGGUAGACGGUGGGGUAACGGCCCACCGUGCCCAUAAUCGGUACGGGUUGUGAGAGCAAGAGCCCGGAGACGGAAUCUGAGACAAGAUUCCGGGCCCUACGGGGCGCAGCAGGCGCGAAACCUUUACACUGCACGCCAGUGCGAUAAGGGGACUCCGAGUGCGAGGGCAUAUCGUCCUCGCUUUUGUGUACCGUAGGGCGGUACACGAACAAGAGCUGGGCAAGACCGGUGCCAGCCGCCGCGGUAAUACCGGCAGCUCAAGUGAUGGCCAAUCUUAUUGGGCCUAAAGCGUCCGUAGCUGGCCCUGAAAGUCCGUCGGGAAAUCCACACGCUCAACGUGUGGGCGUCCGGCGGAAACUUCAGGGCUUGGGACCGGAAGGCUCGAGAGGUACGUCCGGGGUAGGAGUGAAAUCCCGUAAUCCCGAACGGACCACCGAUGGCGAAAGCAUCUCGAGAAGACGGAUCCGACAGUGAGGGACGAAAGCUAGGGUCUCGAACCGGAUUAGAUACCCGGGUAGUCCUAGCCGUAAACGAUGUUCGCUAGGUGUGGCACAGGCUACGCGCCUGUGCUGUGCCGUAGGGAAGCCGAGAAGCGAACCGCCUGGGAAGUACGUCUGCAAGGAUGAAACUUAAAGGAAUUGGCGGGGGAGCACUACAACCGGAGGAGCCUGCGGUUUAAUUGGACUCAACGCCGGACAUCUCACCAGCUCCGACUACAGUAAUGACGGUCAGGUUGAUGACCUCAUCACGAGCUGUAGAGAGGAGGUGCAUGGCCGCCGUCAGCUCGUACCGUGAGGCGUCCUGUUAAGUCAGGCAACGAGCGAGACCCGCACUCCUAAUUGCCAGCAGCAGUUUCGACUGGCUGGGUACAUUAAGAGGACUGCCAGUGCCAAACUGGAGGAAGGAACGGGCAACGGUAGGUCAGUAUGCCCCGAAUGAGCUGGGCUACACGCGGGCUACAAUGGUCAAGACAAUGGGUUGCAACCUCGAAAGAGGGCGCUAAUCUCCGAAACUUGAUCGUAGUUCGGAUUGCGGGCUGAAACUCGCCCGCAUGAAGCUGGAUUCGGUAGUAAUCGCA